Molecule: ribosomal RNA, 497 nt
Filed under: uncultured bacterium
Lineage: Bacteria
Description: partial 16S ribosomal RNA
Rfam family: Bacterial small subunit ribosomal RNA
Source: RNAcentral
GAUGAACGCUGGCGGCGUGCCUAAUACAUGCAAGUCGAGCGAACAGACGAGGAGCUUGCUCCUCCGACGUUAGCGGCGGACGGGUGGGUAACACGUGGAUAACCUACCUAUAAGACUGGGAUAACUUCGGGAAACCGGAGCUAAUACCGGAUAAUAUAUUGAACCGCAUGGUUCAAUAGUGAAAGACGGUUUUGCUGUCACUUAUAGAUGGAUCCGCGCCGCAUUAGCUAGUUGGUAAGGUAACGGCUUACCAAGGCAACGAUGCGUAGCCGACCUGAGAGGGUGAUCGGCCACACUGGAACUGAGACACGGUCCAGACUCCUACGGGAGGCAGCAGUAGGGAAUCUUCCGCAAUGGGCGAAAGCCUGACGGAGCAACGCCGCGUGAGUGAUGAAGGUCUUCGGAUCGUAAAACUCUGUUAUUAGGGAAGAACAAAUGUGUAAGUAACUAUGCACGUCUUGACGGUACCUAAUCAGAAAGCCACGGCUAACUACGUG